This 1553-nucleotide ribosomal RNA is filed under the name Salmonella enterica subsp. enterica serovar Newport. Its description in RNAcentral is "bacterial SSU rRNA". It matches the Rfam family "Bacterial small subunit ribosomal RNA". The record is from RNAcentral. Lineage: Bacteria; Pseudomonadati; Pseudomonadota; Gammaproteobacteria; Enterobacterales; Enterobacteriaceae.
UUAAAUUGAAGAGUUUGAUCAUGGCUCAGAUUGAACGCUGGCGGCAGGCCUAACACAUGCAAGUCGAACGGUAACAGGAAGCAGCUUGCUGCUUUGCUGACGAGUGGCGGACGGGUGAGUAAUGUCUGGGAAACUGCCUGAUGGAGGGGGAUAACUACUGGAAACGGUGGCUAAUACCGCAUAACGUCGCAAGACCAAAGAGGGGGACCUUCGGGCCUCUUGCCAUCAGAUGUGCCCAGAUGGGAUUAGCUAGUUGGUGAGGUAACGGCUCACCAAGGCGACGAUCCCUAGCUGGUCUGAGAGGAUGACCAGCCACACUGGAACUGAGACACGGUCCAGACUCCUACGGGAGGCAGCAGUGGGGAAUAUUGCACAAUGGGCGCAAGCCUGAUGCAGCCAUGCCGCGUGUAUGAAGAAGGCCUUCGGGUUGUAAAGUACUUUCAGCGGGGAGGAAGGUGUUGUGGUUAAUAACCGCAGCAAUUGACGUUACCCGCAGAAGAAGCACCGGCUAACUCCGUGCCAGCAGCCGCGGUAAUACGGAGGGUGCAAGCGUUAAUCGGAAUUACUGGGCGUAAAGCGCACGCAGGCGGUCUGUCAAGUCGGAUGUGAAAUCCCCGGGCUCAACCUGGGAACUGCAUUCGAAACUGGCAGGCUUGAGUCUUGUAGAGGGGGGUAGAAUUCCAGGUGUAGCGGUGAAAUGCGUAGAGAUCUGGAGGAAUACCGGUGGCGAAGGCGGCCCCCUGGACAAAGACUGACGCUCAGGUGCGAAAGCGUGGGGAGCAAACAGGAUUAGAUACCCUGGUAGUCCACGCCGUAAACGAUGUCUACUUGGAGGUUGUGCCCUUGAGGCGUGGCUUCCGGAGCUAACGCGUUAAGUAGACCGCCUGGGGAGUACGGCCGCAAGGUUAAAACUCAAAUGAAUUGACGGGGCCCGCACAAGCGGUGGAGCAUGUGGUUUAAUUCGAUGCAACGCGAAGAACCUUACCUGGUCUUGACAUCCACAGAACUUUCCAGAGAUGGAUUGGUGCCUUCGGGAACUGUGAGACAGGUGCUGCAUGGCUGUCGUCAGCUCGUGUUGUGAAAUGUUGGGUUAAGUCCCGCAACGAGCGCAACCCUUAUCCUUUGUUGCCAGCGAUUAGGUCGGGAACUCAAAGGAGACUGCCAGUGAUAAACUGGAGGAAGGUGGGGAUGACGUCAAGUCAUCAUGGCCCUUACGACCAGGGCUACACACGUGCUACAAUGGCGCAUACAAAGAGAAGCGACCUCGCGAGAGCAAGCGGACCUCAUAAAGUGCGUCGUAGUCCGGAUUGGAGUCUGCAACUCGACUCCAUGAAGUCGGAAUCGCUAGUAAUCGUGGAUCAGAAUGCCACGGUGAAUACGUUCCCGGGCCUUGUACACACCGCCCGUCACACCAUGGGAGUGGGUUGCAAAAGAAGUAGGUAGCUUAACCUUCGGGAGGGCGCUUACCACUUUGUGAUUCAUGACUGGGGUGAAGUCGUAACAAGGUAACCGUAGGGGAACCUGCGGUUGGAUCACCUCCUUACCUGAAAGAA